AAUGAACGUUGGCGGCGUGGAUUAGGCAUGCGAGUCGCGCGAGAAUGUAGCGAUACAGGAAAGCGGCGAAAGGGAGAGGACAACAUGGGAAUCUGCCCGGGGGUCGGGGAUAGCUACGGGAAACUGUAGGUAAUACCCGAUAAUGUUUACGGACCAAAGGUUUACUGCCCCUGGAUGAGCCCAUGCCCCAUUAGCUUGUUGGCGGUGUAAUAGACCACCAAGGCGAUGAUGGGUAGCUGGUGUGAGAGCACGACCAGCCUCACUGGCACUGAGACACUGGCCAGACACCUACGGGUGGCUG
This 301-nucleotide ribosomal RNA is filed under the name uncultured Planctomycetota bacterium. RNAcentral's name for it is "bacterial SSU rRNA". It matches the Rfam family "Bacterial small subunit ribosomal RNA", at positions 29 to 351 of the family's 1533-position model. Lineage: Bacteria; Pseudomonadati; Planctomycetota. The record is from RNAcentral.